UACGAAGGGGGCUAGCGUUGCUCGGAUUUACUGGGCGUAAAGGGCGCGUAGGCGGACAGUUAAGUUGGGGGUGAAAGCCCGGGGCUCAACCUCGGAAUUGCCUUCAAUACUGGCUGUCUUGAGUGUGAGAGAGGUGUGUGGAACUCCGAGUGUAGAGGUGGAAUUCGUAGAUAUUCGGAAGAACACCAGUGGCGAAGGCGACACACUGGCUCACUACUGACGCUGAGGCGCGAAAGCGUGGGGAGCGAACAGG
This 253-nucleotide ribosomal RNA is filed under the name uncultured bacterium. Its description in RNAcentral is "partial 16S ribosomal RNA". It matches the Rfam family "Bacterial small subunit ribosomal RNA", at positions 524 to 776 of the family's 1533-position model. The record is from RNAcentral.